Molecule: long non-coding RNA, 3198 nt
Filed under: Vigna radiata
Lineage: Eukaryota; Viridiplantae; Streptophyta; Magnoliopsida; Fabales; Fabaceae
Description: long non-coding RNA (VRAD_LNC017213)
Source: RNAcentral
CUUNUCCUUGCCAAAAGUGUUNUAGGCUACUUACUUAGUUAUUGUAACUCAAAAAUCACUUUUAUGAUCACAAAAAGAUGACUCAAAUAAUCAAAGAAAAUGCUAGGACUCUAAUGUCGGACUCUAAUGUAACUCCUAAAUGUGUAACAAAAAUUAAAACACACAAGAAAAGUUUUGCCAAGAGAGCACCAAGGACUCUUCCAAGACAACUUGGACUUUGAAUGGCCUUUUACAAUUUAAAGAAAUCUAACACAGAAAACCUAACCAAAAUGAACAAAACAAUUACAAAGGAAGCUAAGAACAGUGGCUGCCACAUUCUGGUUUAUGUUCAAAUUCAUGUGUUGGCUACUUUUGGAGUCUCCUAGCUUGUGGUUUCACUUUCCUUUUCAGUUUUCUGUUGCAGCCUUACAAAUUCUCCUUUGCCUUUCAAAACUUUUGCUCUCGGUUGUGCACAAUUGAUGUGGAGAAUGCAUCCAACUUUGCUCUCACUUUGCAUUCUGCUGUAAUAGUUGUUCCAACGCUCAACCAGUUCAGCUUGAUGACUCUGCUGCAGCUAAUUAUAUGACAUUUUCCAGUUCAAAUCUGCAUAGCAUUCUUUAUGAUUCUGCAGUUGCAUGUAGACUGUAAUCUACAAGGUUGUUUUUCUUCAAACAUUCCCAAAGCAUUCUGCACAAAUAGAUCACACCAAAUUCCAGCAGAGACUUCCAGACUAUCACUUAACCAAUCACAAGAUGGUUCGUGAAUUCAAUUGUAUUAAACUUCCUGUUAAAGACUGAUGCAAUACAAGUUAUUGCUCUUAAACCACACUAGUCAAACAGUACUUUGAUAAACUCUGAUGAAAUCUGAACUUGACUAGCUUUACACAUUCAAAUCGAUAGCCAAAUGAUUAAAACAAAGUCAGUUUACUCAAUUCUGAUCCAAAAAUCAAUUUGUCCAGGUGAGUUACUUUCAAAUCAGUAUAAUGCAUAAAAUCUGGUGAUAUCAAAAAAUGAAAUUCAGAAUUUGGAUGAUAUGUAAUGAUCAAAAUUUGUGUAGAUCUGAAAUGAUGCAAUGGUGAAAUUGAGCUUAUUAGUUAAAAAUGGAAGCUGAACAAAUGCAGCAGAUUAGUUCCUGGACAACAAAGACAGAACAGUUAAAAGAGAAGGAGUAGGCAAUUGCAACUAUGGCUUCUCUUAAGGAAAUUCUGCUUGAUAUUGUUGCAGCACACAAUUCUCACAGUUGCUGAAAGUGGAGCUGUUAAUUUUGGAUGUAGGAUCAGGUUUGACACACACAACAACAGCUGCUGUAGCAGCAAUUAUGCAGUUCCGGAUUCAGUUUCUGCAGCACCGAGAGUCAAGCUCCUUUGUGUUUUCCGCCACUUAUCCACUCCCUAAUGUGCUACCAAUGGUUUAGGAUCUCAGCUGGAUCAAUUUCCCCUGUGAUGACACUUCAACCAGAUCACAAAUCCUUCCAGAGAUUAGUGCACAAAACGUUGUUGCUGGUAGAAAGUGUUCAACACAGAAACUGCACUACAGCACCUUUUAACAAACAGGUGGUAGGCAAGAGUUCCAACAAUGGAAAUAAAGCAAUAAAAUGGAAUUCAAACACGGAGGCACAACAAAAUGAUCCUAAAAAAUGCUCUAGAGUAGAUUUAAAAAGCAAGAAAACGGUUACAAGUUGUAUAAGAUUAAAUUUAAACUCAAAUGAAAAUUAGGCAAAACUGUUUGUUAAAAUGCCUGAAUGAGUUUUUCUGAAACUGGUACAUCAACCAAACCAGAGUUGGCACGGUUUGAAUCAGCUUUUUGUUUCUGCUGGUUAUUUUUCUUUUGACUUUUGAGCAGAUCUUUAUGUUACAUUUAAACCAAGCUUUUGCUACCAAUUCUUACUCAAUUAUUGAUGUUCCAAAACAACAAACAUUAAUGCAGAGAAAAAAACUUGUAUCAGAAAAAUUAGGGGCUGAAAUUGAUGGGUUGGAAGAGGAAUUUGCACCAGAUUAGUAAACACUUAAAUUUUGCAACACAGGCAAAUCCAAAUGAGGGAUAUAAACUUGUUUGUGCUGCCAAUUGAGGCUAAUUAUCAAUGUUUCAGAAAUUCACUGGUUGAGUUCCUCUUUUAACGCUAAUUCAAGCAACUACACCAUCCAAUUUCAAGCACAUGGAAUCAAAUGGAAUCUAAGCACUUAAUUAGACUCCAAUACAACAAAACAAACUUGAUGAAGACAUUAGAAAUGGAAUUAGAACAUUCAGCACCGAAUUCUAAACUGAAUCAGAUUUGAAAACAGAAAAGACUCAAGGUAAGAAGAUGCAACUCGGCCAAUCUGCUAGACUUUGUUUUCUGGACCUUGUGAGAUGAUGCAUCCAACUCAUUCAGUGAAACAAAACACUGUUCAUUUGGUAUGCACAAUUUACAACAUUCCACAAAGGCAAUCCAGAUUAUCAGUCAGACUCAAACACACAUGGUGCAGUUACAAAUUUGAAUCACAUUCACACAGAUUCAACUUUACACACUGGAUUCAAUCACAAAUCUGAAAUGAUCAACACAUUUCAUACACUUGAGCUCCUCAUAGAGACUGUCAUAGCUCUUUUAAUUGUGCAAAGAAUGUUGAAUUCAUUCAAAUUUAACAGAUACAAGACCACACGACUUUAGAACCAGAAUUUGUGAAAACAACAUAAGCAAUUACACAUGACUUUUAACAAAACUGAAUAGAUUGCAAAAAUUAAAAGACUCAAAUAUGAUUUGGCCGAAUAAAAUGAUGAAAAUGAAAUCAAAAUAAAGUUGGCACAAAGAAAAUAACUCGAAGGAAACUAGUGGAAUCAGAACACCAAUGGAACAGUACACACUCGAUGCAAAGAAACGGAGAAAACAAAGUGUUUGACAGUAUGGAUUAAAAGGAAAACUUAGCUCACGGCAGUAGCGGCUGAAACCUUGCUCUGAAUACCAAAUGAUAACUCCAUCCUUGAGCUAUGUAGUAGGUCCAUGAGCUUCCAAGACAAAGACAGCAACACCGGAUGAAAUGGAGUAAGGUAAAAUGGAUGCGCAGCGGAGGAGUGUUGAUAUGAUUCGGUGAAAUGGUUUGAAGUGCUUUUGGAGGUAUGGAUAUAACUCAGAAGGCCUUCACCAUUGGAAGGAAGCUAGAGGAUAAGGUGGAAGAAGCACAAGAAUAUGACUCUCGGUGGAGAGAAGACGCUAGAAAUGCUUCAGCAUAUCUAUUCUCUCAAA